Molecule: long non-coding RNA, 4222 nt
Organism: Formica exsecta
Lineage: Eukaryota; Metazoa; Arthropoda; Insecta; Hymenoptera; Formicidae
Exons: 2
Source: RefSeq, a predicted model, not a curated record
UAUAUAUAUAUAAAUAAAAUAUAAUGUGAUUAAUUACAACUACUCGCUUUACACUGCCGAGGAAUAGGAACAAUUUCGCGUAUUCAGUCAUGCAAACUUUCGUUUCUGAUUUCUAGAGAGUGCCAUAAAUUACUUGAAUCAGAUGACAAAAUAUAUUUUUAAAGCCUUCUAUUGCGCAGAAAUCGGUAUCCUAACAAGAUCAAUUAUAAGAUUUAUUAAACUUUUUAAUUGCCGUUAUUAGUAUACUAUUAACAUAUAUUUUUCUAAAACAUCUAUGACCAAGUUUCGCGGCAUUCGAAAAAAUUGAGAGUGCAAAUUAAGCAUUUUAUAAAUAUCGCAUUUUGGUAUUGCGUUAGGUACAUUUCCUGCUGCUGGUACACACCUUUUAUAAGACGCUCUGUAUGUAGCAUUUAAAACAGUGACAUUGAAAUUUUGCAGGGUUUUUAUCCAGCAGCAAAAUUCUUUUCUGAUGUUUGCCAAAAAGCUUGAGCAAAUUUAAAAUGAUGAUACAGGAAUUGAAGAUUGUUGAUUAAAUUCAUUGAAAAAUAUUUACUGAUUUACAGAUAAAUGUUACACAGAGAUCACAUAAAUGAUAAAUUGAUAAAAUGAGUUUUAUUGUUUUACUGGAAAAGAAGAAUAAAUCAAUUAAUUAAUUAAGGAUAAUCAUGAAUCACAUCAUAUUGUUGCCAAUAUUGAUAAACUGAACUGGGCCAAUGCAUAUCAUUCUUUCCCUCCAAGCUAUGAAGUUACGUCUUACAUGACCAUUCGUUUUCUUGGAGCAAGAAAAUGUGGCAACUGGUUUGAUAAUUUGCACUCAUCUUCUUCAACAUAUAUAUUUUUCACAUAUUGUCGAUAUAUAUAUAUUUCUUUUAUUUGAAUAUUGAUCUUUUUAUUUACAAUUUUCUUAUUAUGAACAAAACUGAUUGCUAAUAACUAUCAGAGCUGUUGGAUACACAUGAUUGUCAUUGCCAUCAGGGAAAGAAACAAGACAAAGGAAAGAAUUUAUGCUGUAAAAUUGAAUUCUUAAUCUUUGCGAUUAAGGAUUAAUUUUAACCGUUUCCUUUUAGGUUCUAUAGUUUGUUUUUUUAAAAACACUUAUUUCCUAAAAAAACGAAACGCGCAUAUUAUACGCAUGAAAAAAUAUAUAUUUUAAAACUAGAUUUUGCAAAAAUUUAAUCAUUAACACAUUUUCUUGCUCCAUUCCGAAACGAAUCGCACGAUGAUGUCAUUAACAAAUUAGAAUAACUUAGAUGUAGCCCUUGAAGGGCAAUAGAUAAGCGGCGGUAAUAUCCCUACGUAUGUGCAUAUAUUUACUAACGCGUAAUUUGUAAAUGAUCACAGCUGCUUGAAACCGAGCAUAACAAAUGUACAAAUUGCAUUGUACUGUCGUAACCAAUUCAGAUUGUUAUUAUUCUUCUGCUUUUACCUUUGUUAAUAUUAUUUUUAUUAUUUUAUCAUUAUAUUAUAAGUAUCCACGUUAAUGUCGUUACUCUAAUGUAAGAAAAAGCGAAAUUUUUUUACUCUGCACGCUUUACUGCUGUUGUAAAGUCGCAUUCAAACCGACUUAAACAGGAAAUAUUUUUCCUGAAAUUAGUUUUAGAUAAAAACUGUAAAUUUUUUUAUACUCUUGCAUUGAAGUAACGACAUUAUUAUCGAUAUAUUCAGUGAGUUAGUAUUAUCAAUAUCAGCUUGUGUGUGUAUGUAUAUGCGUAUUAAACUCGGCUGCGUCUGCUGUUUUAUCUUUUCUUCCUUGUCUGAAUAUAGGGUAGAUCGAAAAUCAUGCACCUAAUAAGGUGAUUUCUUGUCGACAUAAGCAAUUUAAAUAUGCAAAGACCAUACUUUUUAAUUUAAAAAUGUAAGUACCUAAAAAUCUUUAUUUCUGGAACUGGGGAUUCUGAGUUAAGAAAAUUUAAUGAUUUAUCAAAGAAUAAAUAAACUAUAAAUCUAAAAAUGCGAGAUUUUGGACAUAAAAAUGUUACAUAUUCAGAAACGGUAUUAAUAUAACCGAUAGUAAUCGUGUAGCAUUUCAUGUGUAGCAUUUUCAAUAUCUAAAAAUAAGACUCAAGGAUACAAUAUGCACUUAAGAGAAAAAUUGAAAAGGGUGAUUUACUUAUUAAAAUGAAGAAGUUGGUAUAUGUAUGCAUAUUAGAAGUUGCUAUCAACAAAAAAAAUACUUCGAAAAAACAAAGUUACUUGUAUAGAAAAAAAAAUUGUUUUUUCGAAUUAUUUUAUCAGAAAAUUGUUUCCACUUCCACAUAUAUUGUAGCGAGAUUUUUGAACUACCCUGUGUACUUUGUAAUAUUUCGAAAUAAUGAUAACUCUCUGAGAGAGGUAUUUAAUCGUUCGAAUUAUCGUUUUUACUUAAAAUAGGAAGAGAUUUAAUGCGAAGAGAUUUUUGAUGUGGCUUCCAAUUCUUCCAUCCUUCUGUACUUAGUAAGUGUAACGAUGUUUCUUGUAAACGUUAUUGUAUGCGAACGCAUGUAUUAUAAAAUUCUCUUUGUAUAACGCCCAUCGAAUCGACUCUGUAUGUACGAUUGUACAAAUCUCUGCACGAUCCAAGAAUCCGAGAAUCCAUAGAUCUAAGUAUUCGAAAACCGAAACGAGUUAAAAGAGUUAUAAAAUUCAUGGAUCUGCUCAGUCGAACAGGAGCCAAUAUUAGAGUUGCAAUUGAGUAUCCUAAAAUCCGAGACUGUAAGGAUAUAAGAAUCAAUGAAUGUAUACAAGUGUGCAAUUAUUCGAUACAAUGUGUGAUAAUUAAAAAUUUAUUAGUAUAGUAAUCUAUGAUGUAAUUAAGAAUCGUGGAUCGAACGAUUAAAGAUUUUAAGGACAUAGUCUUUAGAGUUUUAAUGUUAAAUGGAAUAUCCAAUCAGAAGAAUUGAGAGAACCUACCAAAGAUUCAAGAAAAAAUUUGAAAAGUUAAUUAUAAGAAAUCAAAAAUAUCCAGAGAUGUGAGAAUUGAAAAAUUUAGGAAUUUAAAAAUUGAAUAGAUUAAGGAUUCAAAGAUCCAAUGAUCCAAAGGCUUGAAGCUAUAUAAAGAAUGCACGCAACAUACAGAUCAAAAUAACACACAAAGAAAAAUCUAAGGAUUCAAGGAUCUAAAAAUGUAUCUUUUAGAUAUACUAUAUGUAUUAUUAUUAUUACGUUAUUGCGUAUGAAAAGUCUGUUUUUAAUUUAGACUGAUAUAAUCUCAAGGAAUUUUUAACAGAAUUAGAGAUAUAGAUUAUUUUUUAUAUAAAAAAAAUAUUUUAAUAUAUAUAUAAUAAUAUACACAGCUAUACAAAAGAUAUGUACGGCAUUUAAAAAGCUAAAGAUUAAAGCGUUUACUUUAUUUAUUUAUUAGCCAGAAAUAAAAUAUGUACACUAGCAUAUGUACACUUUUCUACAUUUGUAAAUUUUAUGAUUUAGUGACAUUAUAUUAAUAAACGUAAUAUAUAAUAUUCUUAAUAAUAUUAAUAAAUUCAAUACAUACGCGCGUCGGAAUAGCUAGUUUUAUAAUCUGCGAUUAAAUCUUAAAAAUUUUAAACAAUUCGUGCGCUUAAUAAAUAAAUUAUUUUUUUUGCAAAACAGCUUUUUACCACAUACUUUUAAAUUCAAUGUAAACAUUAAAAAAUAUACAAUAGAAUACAGGAAUACUACAUACACAAAUAAAUAUAUAUUAAAUGUACUAAAAGCAAGAAAUUAGACGUCUAAAAUUAACAUAAAAGUUGGAAAUUGUGUAUUUAGAUUAUCCUGGAAAUCAAAAAAUAAAUUAGGUUUUAAUAUUCCGAAAUUUAAAAAAAUGUUAGUUGUACAAUAAAGAAUAAAAAAAUUUGGAAACAGGCUGAUUAAACGCGGGAAAUUAGAAAAUUUGACUUUUCAUACGCAAACACGUAAUAUAUUAAUAUCUAAUUGAAGCAAGGAGAAACGCGAGUGAGAAAGUUUUGCCGAUAAUGUUCUCAAUCUUGAAAUCGUAAUCACAAGGAUUUCGAGCCGCUGCCUUGCUGUGCAUAAUGAAGUGACAAAUAUGUAAAAAAAAAAAUAUAUAUAUAUAUAUACACACAUUCAAAAAACGGCAGAAGCAGAAAAUGCGCGUGUGUAUGUGUAAAUGUACAUUUGUAUGUUCUGUAUGCGUGUGCGUAUGUGUAAAAAGAAUAGCGUUCGAGGCUUUCGCCGAGUGAAACGGCCGCCAAUUCGAGUCGAGACUUUUUUAUAUAUACGAAUCCAAAAAAUUUCUUAACAAAAA